GAUGAACGCUGGCGGCGUGCCUAAUACAUGCAAGUCGAGCGAACGGACGAGAAGCUUGCUUCUCUGAUGUUAGCGGCGGACGGGUGAGUAACACGUGGAUAACCUACCUAUAAGACUGGGAUAACUUCGGGAAACCGUAGCUAAUACCGGAUAAUAUUUUGAACCGCAUGGUUCAAAAGUGAAAGACGGUCUUGCUGUCACUUAUAGAUGGAUCCGCGCUGCAUUAUCUAGUUGGUAAGGUAACGGCUUACCAAGGCAACGAUGCAUAGCCGACCUGAGAGGGUGAUCGGCCACACGGGAACUGAGACACGGUCCAGACUCCUACGGGAGGCAGCAGUAGGGAAUCUUCCGCAAUGGGCGAAAGCCUGACGGAGCAACGCCGCGUGAGUGAUGAAGGUCUUCGGAUCGUAAAACUCUGUUAUUAGGGAAGAACAUAUGUGUAAGUAACUGUGCACAUCUUGACGGUACCUAAUCAGAAAGCCACGGCUAACUACGUG
RNAcentral lists this ribosomal RNA (497 nucleotides) under uncultured bacterium. Its description in RNAcentral is "partial 16S ribosomal RNA". It matches the Rfam family "Bacterial small subunit ribosomal RNA", at positions 28 to 507 of the family's 1533-position model. The record is from RNAcentral.